GAUGAGUUUCACACAACUGUGACAUGGCCUGAGCAGCAAGCGCAGAGUAGUGGUUUUGGAGCAGCGGGAGCUCCUAACACUGAGGAGGAGAACUUUGAGGACGCAGAUGAUGAGAGUCAGGAGGACUCCGAUGACAGCAUGGGCUGAUAGCAGACAUCUACUGAGGGAUGUCUAUAGACAGGACUUAGUUUUUCUUUCUUUUACUUUUGUUUUCUUUCUUUUAUUUGUUUUAUUUUGUUUCGAUUUAAAUUCAUAGAAUAGGUUGAAUUUUUAUUUUUAUUUUGGUGUGUACUUUUGGAUUUACUACUUGCUCUGAAAAUGUUGGACCACCUGAUGUGCUUGAUGAAUCUACUUGAUGAUUAUUUGAUGUGGAAGAGAAGUGAGUUGUAAUGCAUGAUGAUAUCCAGGAAAUAGAUGGGUGAUGAAUUUAUGAUUGUGGUCAUGAUGCCAGGUAUGGUGUAUGAAUGAAUUUUGUGUGAGAAAGCAUGUGUGUGAGAUUUUGAGCUCCAGAGUUUUUAUUGUUGCAUGUAUUAUUCAAAGGAAAACAUGGAUGAUAUUGCCUUAAUCUUGAUGAUCGAUUGAAUUGCAUGUAAAUGUCAUAUGAUCAAGGCCAUUUUUGAAAACCCUUCUCUAGCCAAAUUUUCAUCCAAAGUGCUUGAAAUUUUAUAUCCCUUGUUUUGAAAUUCUUUACCUUGAGUUGGGAUGAGCUAAUUCGUAUGUGAUGAAAAGGUUCAAGUUUGGGGUUGUACGGGGGAAGAUUGGAAAAGAAAGUGAAAGGCAUUGAGCUCAAUUGUUGUGAAAAGAGAAAAUUCAUGAGAAAAAGAAAAGAAAAGAAGAAAAACAUGAAGAAGAGCUCAAUGCAAAAGAAAAAGAAAAGGGAAAAGUUGGGAAUGAGAGACAUUGGUGAGAGUUGUGCUUAAAUGUUGAAUAUUUUGAUAGCUCUCUUGACUCAAGGAUUUUGCAUUCUAGAAAAACCAAUUCUUUCUUGUUAGCCCAACAUCAUUACAAGCCUAGGAAAAGUCCUUUUGAUGGCAUUUGCAUGUAAAGAUGUUGAUUGUUUGAGAUGAAUGGCAAUUUUGUUUCAUGCAACUUGUGAGUAAUUGAGAGUUGGAGUGUCACCUUAAACACUAGAGUGAUUAAGUGAAACACUUGCUUGGUAUGAUUUGUUAACUUUCAUGAAUACAUUUUUGCUUAGUGGAUUGAUCAUUCAUAGUAUAUAACAUCUAUUGUGCAAUCUCAGGGUUGAAAGCAUGCAUGCAUCUUAUUUUGGAUUUCACUGAGGAUAUUGAAUUGAGUAAUUUUGUCAUCUACCUUGGGAUCGUUGAGGCAUUGAAUGAAAUAGUAUAAAGCCAAGUUUUGUUUUGUGUGAUUGUUUUGUUUGUUUU
RNAcentral lists this long non-coding RNA (1385 nucleotides) under Vigna radiata. RNAcentral's name for it is "long non-coding RNA (VRAD_LNC014468)". The record is from RNAcentral. Lineage: Eukaryota; Viridiplantae; Streptophyta; Magnoliopsida; Fabales; Fabaceae.